AUACGGAGGGUCCGAGCGUUAUCCGGAAUCAUUGGGUUUAAAGGGUCCGUAGGCGGGAAUCUAAGUCAGUGGUGAAAUCUUGCAGCUCAACUGUAAAAUUGCCAUUGAUACUGGAUUUCUUGAAUUAGUGUGAAGUGGUUAGAAUGUGUAGUGUAGCGGUGAAAUGCAUAGAUAUUACACAGAAUACCAAUUGCGAAGGCAGAUCACUAACACUAUAUUGACGCUGAGGGACGAAAGCGUGGGGAGCGAACAGGAUUAGAAACCCCGGUAGUCC
Molecule: ribosomal RNA, 274 nt
Filed under: uncultured bacterium
Lineage: Bacteria
Description: partial 16S ribosomal RNA
Rfam family: Bacterial small subunit ribosomal RNA
Source: RNAcentral